CAUGGAACCCAGGACUGGCCAAUGAGACUAAAAUAGGGAACUUUAGCUUGGACCAGUGACAAAGACAAGACUUCUCUUUCUACUGGACUUGAAUCUAGACACGCUUGGGGGCUGUCAUGCAGAGAAAAUCUGUCAAUGAGAGUGCCCAACAGAAGAAGGUGAUAUCAAAAGACAAAGAAAAACAAAGCACUAUUGACAUCAUUUGAGCUUCUGGAAUUUUCCAUUGGGUUAAUUAAUGACCCUCCCUCUCCACACAUAUAUGCAUUUGUUUGUUUUCUGCUUUGUUUUGUGUUUUGCUUAAAUCAGUUUAAAUUGAGUCUCUGUCACUUGCAAGAAAAGUCCCACUGGACAAACAACUUAGAAUUUUUUUUUUCUUCAAAAAUCACCAUGGACCCCUUCAACAGUGGGGCUGCUAUUUGAACACACCUGUUUGUGCCUUGACCUCACUCUUUUUUAUGUACAGACAAGGCAAAUCCUUUCCUGUCACUAAACACACCAACUCUCCACGCCACUGGCUUGCCCUUAAUGAUGCCGCCUGCCUCUCUCUAUACCAAUUUGUACCCUGUCCCUCCCACAGCACAGGACCUGCUCCACCCACCGUCCUGCUUUUCUAACACUGUCUACUCAAGUGAUCUUCAGCUACAAGACAGUAAACUUGACACUGAUCACAGUUUGGCAGCACCUUGCAAGGCAUUCCAGCUCACUGGCGCUCUGAAGUCACGCUUAUCUCCUCUUCCACUUCCCCUUGCUUUUUCCUAUUUGCAGUCGACAUAUAAAUUAAGGGUUUUGAACUACUGUAGCAAUAUGCUCAUACGCAGAUGCAAUCACCAUUCUAAAUGAUGGCUUUGCUCAUCCCCUGCUCGUCUUUAGAGAAUAAAGCCAGGCACGGUGGGAAUCCUCACAGUGCCAUCCAACCCAAAGUUCCUACUAUUCCGCAGGGGUUUGCUGGUGGUGUUUGUAAAAAUUCACAGAGAACUUUGCCUAAAACCUCCCAGUGGGGAAGGUAGAUGCAUGCAGAUGUCCUGAACCCCUCUCAAUGUCCUCUUGCACGUCACCUCCUCCUCCCCCGCUGCUCCUCUCCACUCGCUGACAUUCCAAAACCUUUCAAACAGUCAGGAACAUGGACAAAAGGAGGUGCCUGGUUACAUGCCCUGGGUAGGAUUCAUGCCUAUGCUGCUCCCCAGGGAGCAGAAUGCUACCCAGGUUGAUGUAUCCUGGUCUCCAGUCAGGAAGGCUUAGUUCAAAAAGCAUCCUUAAUUUUUAUUAUAAUAUGUUUUCACCGAAAAUCCUGUUUCCCUGGUGUUUAGACAAGAUGGGUAUUUUUCAGGAAAUGGGGAGAGACAGGCACACAUGUGUACAGCACAGUGGGUUACAACGCAGACUCUGGAGUCAGGAUGUCUGAGCUUAAAUCCAGGGCUGACCACUUGGACGCGCUAUUUGACACACUUUUCUUAUUUGUUUAAUAGGGAUGAUAUUAGAAGCUGCAUCAUAAGGCUGCUGGGAAGAUCAGCAAUGGUAAUGUAUGCAAAGCACUCAGCCCAGUGCUUGGCACACAGCAAGUGCUAGACAGACAUUUGCUACUGGGGAGCUGACUUCCCAAAGUGACCGAGGAGCCUGGUGGAUGCGAGAGCUCAUGAUGUCCAAAUGGUCUCUCGGAAGUCUGGGGAAGCUGGUGGACCACCCUGUCCCCCGAGUGUGGGAGUUAGGCAGUGCUGUAUUCAGUCCUGCCAGAGGGAUUCUCCAAGGGCCCUGCCUCUCUUCCACAGGCUGUUGCCAGGACCAAAGACAUGCCCAUCACAUGGGUUGGCUUCCAUUGGAGGUAUCUUUGCCUCAGCUGACGACAUGAACCCUUCUCUUCUAGCAACCUGUUUGUGUUGAUCAAAAUGUGUGAUUGCAGGUCCCAAGAAGAAGCUCUAUCUGUGGCAGCAGUUCUCAGUCAGAGGCAAUUUUACUCCCCAGGGGACAAAUGACGGGGUCUGGAGACAUUUUUGAUUGUAUCAAUUGGGGAGUGUGGGCUGCUCCUGGCAUCUAGUGGGCAGAGGCCAGGGAUGCUGUUGAACAUCCUACAAUGCAGAGGGCAGCCCCCCACAACUAAGAAUCAUCCAGCCCAAAUGCCGAUGGUGCCCAGGUUACGUAACUCUGGUCUAUACCUGUGUCUCUUGAAGUUUGGUUCUUGGGCUACCUGCAUCAGAAUAAGUUUGGGCUACGGGUUAGAAAUGCACAUUUUGGAGCUGAACCCCAGACUUACUAAGCGAGACUCUCUGGGGCUCCCUGCUGAUUCUGAAGAAGACCAUGGUUUAAUGGGAUUCCUUCCACGUGUCAUGCUUUGGAAAGUGGCCUUCGUGGGGCCUCCACAGACUCAUGUCCUCCUCUCUUGCUGUUUCGCUGACUCAUUCAGGAGACUGUGGAGGAUUAACACUGGAAGUUGCUUUAGGUACGGACACAUCUCCCCACCAGGUUCCAGGAUGUGCACAGGAGGAAACUGACAUCAUUAAGAGAAAAAAAAAAAAAGAAAGAAAGAAAGAAACCAUGCUAGGUAAAAUUCCAGAGUUGGUCACUGUUAUAUUCUUUCUUAUUUUCUUCCAUCUUAGUCAAAAUCAUAUAAAAAGGAAGUGGGGGAGGAAAAGCCGCAUGGAAGGAAGUGGAAAGGUGAGAGGCCUGGUAGCUGCAAAGAUGAAACUAAUGUUGAUUCUUCGGUGACGGAAGAGGAGGUGGCGAGGGGAGAGAUUUUAGGGUCCCAGCUCCCAGCCAGUCAACGGUGAGCCACUGACCCCUUCCUCUGUCGUCUCCAAGCAGCAGUGGCUCCUGCAUAGUCCGCAGGCCUGAGGUGAUGCCAGCUGACAAGGCCGUCAGCGACGAACAACCAGGGAAAUAUCAUUGGCCAUAUUUUUCUAACCUUCCU
Long non-coding RNA from Equus caballus (horse), 2902 nucleotides. The record is from Ensembl. Lineage: Eukaryota; Metazoa; Chordata; Mammalia; Perissodactyla; Equidae.